Molecule: transfer RNA, 73 nt
Filed under: Marmota monax (woodchuck)
Lineage: Eukaryota; Metazoa; Chordata; Mammalia; Rodentia; Sciuridae
Description: tRNA.Ala
Source: RNAcentral
UUUGGUUAUAGUUUGGUGGUAGACUAUGUGCUUAGCAUGUGUGAGGCCCUGGGUUCAAUCCCCAGUGCCAGAA